RNAcentral lists this ribosomal RNA (253 nucleotides) under uncultured bacterium. Its description in RNAcentral is "partial 16S ribosomal RNA". It matches the Rfam family "Bacterial small subunit ribosomal RNA", at positions 524 to 776 of the family's 1533-position model. The record is from RNAcentral.
UACGUAGGGUGCGAGCGUUGUCCGGAAUUAUUGGGCGUAAAGAGCUCGUAGGCGGCUUGUCGCGUCGUCCGUGAAAACCUGCGGCUCAACUGCAGGCUGGCGGUCGAUACGGGCAGGCUGGAGUUCGGUAGGGGAGACUGGAAUUCCUGGUGUAGCGGUGAAAUGCGCAGAUAUCAGGAGGAACACCAAUAGCGAAGGCAGCUCGCUGGGACGUUACUGACACUGAGGCGCGAAAGCGUGGGGAGCGAACAGG